AUUGAACGCUGGCGGCAGGCCUAACACAUGCAAGUCGAACGGUAACAGGAAGCAGCUUGCUGCUUUGCUGACGAGUGGCGGACGGGUGAGUAAUGUCUGGGAAACUGCCUGAUGGAGGGGGAUAACUACUGGAAACGGUAGCUAAUACCGCAUAACGUCGCAAGACCAAAGGGGGGGACCUUCGGGCCUCUUGCCAUCGGAUGUGCCCAGAUGGGAUUAGCUAGUAGGUGGGGUAACGGCUCACCUAGGCGACGAUCCCUAGCUGGUCUGAGGGGAUGACCAGCCACACUGGAACUGAGACACGGUCCAGACUCCUACGGGAGGCAGCAGUGGGGAAUAUUGCACAAUGGGCGCAAGCCUGAUGCAGCCAUGCCGCGUGUAUGAAGAAGGCCUUCGGGUUGUAAAGUACUUUCAGCGGGGAGGAAGGGAGUAAAGUUAAUACCUUUGCUCAUUGACGUUACCCGCAGAAGAAGCACCGGCUAACUCCGUG
This 490-nucleotide ribosomal RNA is filed under the name uncultured bacterium. RNAcentral describes it as "partial 16S ribosomal RNA". It matches the Rfam family "Bacterial small subunit ribosomal RNA", at positions 30 to 507 of the family's 1533-position model. The record is from RNAcentral.